Molecule: long non-coding RNA, 1319 nt
Filed under: Triticum aestivum (bread wheat)
Lineage: Eukaryota; Viridiplantae; Streptophyta; Magnoliopsida; Poales; Poaceae
Description: long non-coding RNA (TAES_LNC004680)
Source: RNAcentral
AUGCCUCCCUCGCCCUCGCCCAUGGCCAUGGACAAUAAAGCAAAGGAACGUUUUCUUCGUUUCCGUCUCCCUGUCCUCGCCUCCGCUCGCCGCUUCGCAAUGGCGAGCGCGGCGACGGCGAACGACAUCUCAGACAACCAUACUGUCCCUCCUCCCCCUCGCGCUUCCAUGGCGUCCCCUACGAGGGCAUCUCGUCCAAUGUAGGCGCGGGAGGGCGGCGCCACCGCCACCACCAACGGCAGACAGGGUGGAGCCAGGCAUGCAUUCAUCACUAUCCCUAGUUUCCUACCACUGGCGACGAGAGGUGCAGAGAAGGUUAGGGUCUCGGGAGCAUACUUAUCCGCGUAUACGUUCGACGGCGUAUCGCACGGAUCUACGGCAUUCUUGGCGCCGGCCGCUCGGUGUGUUCUUGAUGAAUUUUGCGAUGUUAUUUUCCUAGAGUGCAAUUUGUUGUGCGGAGGAUCUUUGCGAAUUCUCCAAUGUUUGGAACCUUUUAACUUCUUUUUUCUCUCAAGUUUUUGGUGAUUUCAGUCAGAGACUAGAAAACAACAGUAGGGGACUGAAAGGUGGGUGUAUUUUGAGGUAAUUCUUCUGUGGGUUCUUGAGUGGCCACAGACCCACAGCGUGGUUGAUUCUGAAGUCCAUACCUUGUGAGAUCAUGCUCACUGCUGUUUUUUACAACCUCCAGUUUGCUUGAAUGGUACCUGUGGUUGAAUUCUUGGAAUGCUCUUCUGCACAGGAGUCAAGGUUUGGUACCCUGAAAUUGUUCAUUCGUGUGCUGUCUGCUGUCGCUUAAGGCCAUGAUAAGGUAGUUCGUUUUUCUUUUCUUUUUCAGAAUGCGCGCUUGAUUGGGGAAUGUGGUUCGAUUUGUGCGUUGUUUGUUGCAGUUACUGAAUAUGUUUGGUUGGUCUGUUGAUAAGAUGAUGUGGACCGGAUCUGGCAUUGUGCGAAACGGGGCCAGAUUUGCACCCUAAGUUUUACAGCUACCAGACUAGAGGCUACCUGUUGAUCCUUUGGUGUCAGCAGAUAUGCUACAACAGCAGAGAGUACACAUCAAAUCGUCGUGUUUGGUAUAAGUAUAUGUUGCAAUUUCCUCUUAUAUGGCGAUAAUCUCCGCUUUCUCUUCUUUUAUUACCUUGUGCGAUUGUAAAAUCCUUGAAGCCUGCAAAAUUCUUGGCGCUUCUCAACAGGCCGCUUUUCUAGUAAAAACCACCACAACGACUAGAGGGAGCAUGAUGAGCAAUUAUUUCCUUGUGUUCGAGCUAUCAUGGGGACGGCUGAAAGCCUGAAAUCACCAUCAUUCAGAAAAAGGAAAACCA